CUCUGUUCGCAUAACCCUCAUAAUUUGGUUAUUAUGUUUCUUUUUAAUGUUUAGACUUUGAUAAGGUCUGUCUGUUUUUUUGUUGUACCAUAUGAGUUUUGGGUUAACUGAAUGGCUGCAAAGCUUUAUCCCCAUCAAUCAAUAAGAUUAACAAAACCUAUAUUGAUUGAUUCUUUAAUUUUGAUUGGAUAAACUUAAAAAAAAAGUGGGUUAACUUUGAGUCUUACACUGUGUACAGUAAAUUAAAAAGGUGGAUGAACCCUGAUGAUGAUGAUAAGUUUCUGUUUGAACGAAAACAUUGUGUUUCAGUUGGAGUUGCUUGCAAUACAGUGCACCAAAUCCAUCAAUAUCAAGGGGCUAUUUGGAACAGUAAAACACUAGUGCAAGAUGAAAACCAAAAUUCCCUUCCUGACGAGUAGUGAGCAAACAACACUGACAAUUUUGUCGGAGAUUCGUCGUCUUGUUGGUAUCUGGAAGGAGAAAUUGUUGGGCCAAUUUUCCUAGUUGUUGGCCUAAUGCUGACGUCUGGAUGCAAGAUGACACGAGCUGCACAAGGGGGGAACAAAGUCAAAAUGUCAUUCUCUGUUGGGGUUUCAUUUCUCGACCUUUGAAUGUAAUGGCUUUUUCUUAUUUAAAUCGUUGACUAAUAGGUUAAUUCAUCGGUGAUGUGAUGAUGUGCUGAGACCUGGAUGAAGACGAUGAUUGAUGGCCAAUCAUCCCAACCCUUUGCCGACGUGUGGAAUGGAUGGAAGGUUGAAGAUGCAUAUAAAAACAUGGUAAUGAUGGACACGUUCGGAAACCAAACUACGCCAUUAGUCUUAAUUACAUCCACCAACGUAAUGCUCAUCAUUGUUACGGGCAGAUCUAUAGUCACCCACCUGGACCAUAUAAUUUGCGUGCGACUUUCGAAGCGGUGUAACAGUCUCAGCGCUGUUUUAAGUAUUAUUAAUUGGCAAAUAAAAAUUCAAUUGGCAAUUAUUUGUUCCCUCUAUCGUUUCCCUGACUUGUAUCAAAUCUAAUUGCAUUUGACUUAAUUUAGUGUGACCCGAGUUUUACCAAGAACGAAUUUUAUUAUUUAAUAUUAAUUUAAUUAAUUUUGUUCUCGAAUAACGAACUUGAGCGCCCGCCUUGAGUGGACCAGAAAACGAGGGGAUUUUCCAGUCCAGAAACCAUUUAAGGUAAAAUAAGCUAUCCCUUGGUUAUGGCGUGAAAGCCAACGUUUAAUCGAAUUUAAUCUUAUUCCAUUUUCGAGUUCAACGGCGUGCAUCAAGAUUAUCCCACGUCUUACGAUAGGUAAUCGAUCUGGCUAGCUCUGAACUGUUUACUUCAUAUUGCAGUCAGAGUCGAUCAAAGGACAAUGAAACAUAUUGAAAGGUAUUAUCUCAUUCAACAGUUUUACAUGCAGAUUUUGGAUCCCAACUGUCAGUGGGUGGACCGGACACCUUUGGCCAACUUAACAACGGCUAUGCGUGUCCGGAUGAGAAUCAGAUGCUGCUGGAUGGAUAAGACGUGUUGGCAAUCACAGCUCUGUAUAAUUGUCAUCAACAUCUUAUCAGCGAUAACUUAAACAAUUUGAAUCCGUCUAUUUGCUUAAUUGAUCUUUUGUUGAUCUACUUCAACCCGGUGAGUAGUAAGGAACGUGCAAAUGUCGGAACGUGCAAAUGUCGGAGGAGAGACGUAACCACACGAUCCGAUGAACAACGACCUAAUAAGGUGAGUUGAUUUUUCUGAUUUAUUUUAUUUGAUCUCAGUCCGAGAUGAAUUUUGUUGCAGACAUUUUACAUGGUCAUCGUGUGGGCGGCACCUGCAGCAAUUGAAAAUUUGUCUUGUUCCGUCAUUAAGGUCCUUAAGUCCAGUUAGUCCAUACCAUUCCAGUCACAUUUCAGAUAUUUGACUAAUUUGAACAAGGUUUUCACUGCUGAAAAAGAAAUAAUUGAGGGUACUAUUCCUUCUAUCAACGGUUUUGCAAGAGAAAUUGAUCGCCAUUUUAAACAAUUUCGAUUACCAACUACGACCUACCACUCAGAAAACGUUUAAGAUU
RNAcentral lists this long non-coding RNA (2041 nucleotides) under Daphnia pulex (common water flea). RNAcentral describes it as "uncharacterized LOC124208885". The record is from RNAcentral. Lineage: Eukaryota; Metazoa; Arthropoda; Branchiopoda; Diplostraca; Daphniidae.